Molecule: ribosomal RNA, 627 nt
Filed under: uncultured Acidobacteriota bacterium
Lineage: Bacteria; Pseudomonadati; Acidobacteriota
Description: bacterial SSU rRNA
Rfam family: Bacterial small subunit ribosomal RNA
Source: RNAcentral
AGAGUUUGAUCCUGGCUCAGAAUCAACGCUGGCGGCGUGCCUAACACAUGCAAGUCGAACGAGAAAGUGGAGCAAUCCAUGAGUAAAGUGGCGACCGGGUGAGUAACACGUGACUAACCUACCUUCGAGUGGGGGAUAACUCCGGGAAACCGGGGCUAAUACCGCAUAACAUCUUCGGAUCGGAAGAUCCGGGGAUCAAAGGAGCAAUUCGCUUGAAGAGGGAGUCGCGGCUGAUUAGCUAGUUGGCGGGGUAAUGGCCCACCAAGGCGAUGAUCGGUAUCCGGCCUGAGAGGGCGCACGGACACACUGGAACUGAAACACGGUCCAGACUCCUACGGGAGGCAGCAGUGGGGAAUUUUGCGCAAUGGGGGAAACCCUGACGCAGCAACGCCGCGUGGAGGAUGAAGUCCCUUGGGACGUAAACUCCUUUCGACCGGGACGAUUAUGACGGUACCGGUGGAAGAAGCCCCGGCUAACUUCGUGCCAGCAGCCGCGGUAAUACGAGGGGGGCAAGCGUUGUUCGGAAUUAUUGGGCGUAAAGGGCGCGUAGGCGGUGCGGUAAGUCACCAGUGAAAUCUCUGGGCUCAACUCAGAGCCUGCUGGCGAAACUGCCGUGCUGGAGUAUGG